Heterocephalus glaber (naked mole-rat) is the source of this 5437-nucleotide non-coding RNA. The record is from RefSeq and is a predicted model, not a curated record. Lineage: Eukaryota; Metazoa; Chordata; Mammalia; Rodentia; Bathyergidae.
UUAGAAGGUAUUUAAGCAUUUUUACAAAUUUUGUAAAAUUCCCUUGGAAAAAUUUUAGUUACCCCUCUUGCUACUUAAAUAGGAUUACAGUCCUGGGGUAAUUCAUGCUUUUCCUUUGGGUUUGGGCUUCAGAAUUAUUAAGUAUACUCGCAUUACUUUGGUAUGUCUUAAAGUCAAUGGAAAUUUCUGUAUAUAUUGUUUCACACAGCUCAAGAGUUGACAUACCUGAAAUGAAAUUCAUCUCUCAAGCCCUGUGAUCUGUCUCAGCCCAUGGUCCACCAUAUAGCCUCCUCCUGACUCCUGCAUCCUGCACCAGACCUGAUCCAGAGUUGCCAGUGUCCUGGGAAGAGCAGUUCCCACCACCACACCCUAUCAGGAGCGCAUUCUGAGGAUGGAUUCUUCCUUCUGUUCUUCCUUUUGCCAACCCUCCAUCCACUUUCUGAAUUCCAGAAAGUAGCAGAACUCACAAGUCCAUUUCCAUUCUCUUUUUUAUUAUUGAUUUAUUCUUUGAUUUUUCUUUGUAUCUCUAGGCAGAGAAAAACAGGUAUCUACUCAUUCUGCAAUUCUAAACUGAAAUUUAAUGGAUUCUUAAGGUUCUUCAAACAUCUGUUUCAUAUAAAUAAUCUACCUGGGACACUUCUUAUUAUGAAGAGAGUGUAGCCCAGUGCUUCAGAGCAGGUCUCCUGAGCUAGACUAACUGAUAGAUCAACUAUCCCGAGAGACUUUGGAUAUGUUACUUACAUUCAUGUGUAUUUCAGUUUUCCAUUCUAUACCAAAAGAAAAGUGCCUCAUGGAAUUGUCUGAACAGUAAAUGAUUUAAAAUGUACUUAGGACAGCAACUGGCACAGAAUUUUAUAUAUAUAUCCUUUUGAAUUUCUUGUCUCAUAUCUGGUACAGUGUUCCCUAAACACAAAGUUAAAGAAAUAAUUUUUUUCUGCUUAGAAAUCAAACAGGUUCAUGGGUGACUGUUUUUGCACCUAAGUAGGUAGUUAAUAAAAAUAAAUUUGUUAGGGCCGGGGAUUUAGUUCACUGGUUCCUGUACCUGCCUCGUAAGCGCAAGGUCUCAAGUUCGAUCCCCGGUACCAAAAAUAAAUAAAUAAAUUUGUCAAUACAUUUGAAUCACUGUGAAGACACUUAGGCAUCUUAGUAACAACUGAAAUUACCAUCCAUCCAACUCCUAGAAGCAAGAGAGAGAACCUGGGAAAGGAAACAGCCAAUGAAACAAAUUUUAAAUGUUUGUUUCCUUUUAUUUUUAUUAUUUCAUUCUCACAUUUCAGUCAAAGCAUGAGGAAAAUAACUUUAAAUCUCAACAAACAGACUUGAAUAAAACAUUCCAUGAAAGAUAUACGUCUAACAAAAUUUUUUUUAAACCUGUUGAUUUUAUUUUUUUAUAAAUCAUAAAGCUUUUAUUACUUGUUCCUUUAAGAUUUAGCACAUAGUAAACAUUGUCUCAUCUCAAAUGUUUUCACUUCCAAAAGAAUCAACACUCAGCUUGAAUUUUUCUAAGAUAAAUACCAUUAACUUUGCUUUAAAGAAAAUAAGGAUAGCCCACAGGAGCAAAGAGUAUAUCACCUCCUAAAAAUUGAGGAAAGAGCCAGGCAUGGUGGCUCACGCCUUUAAUGCCAGCACUCUGGAGGCUGAGGCAGAAGGAUAGCCAGGAAUUCGAGGCCAGCCUGGGCUACAUAGUGAAUUCAAGACCAGCGUAAACUACAGAGUGAAACCUUGUCUUAAAAAAAAAAACCAGUGCUGUAAAAACUUACAUCUAUCAUAAUUCAGUCAUUUGUUACCACAGUGUCAGAAAAUAGUGUUGAAAAGCAUAUUGUAAGAGUCACCUUUCCAUCACUGAGAUAAAAUAUCUGACUAUAUAACUUAAAGCAGAAAGGAUUUGAGUCAAGGUUUCAGAGAUUUCAGCAUUAAACCAUCGGUGACUACAGUGCUCCCAUGAUUUAAAAGCCCCACCUCUGAACACCUCUGAGCCUCUUGGGGGACAUUUUUUGAUCCAAAUAACAACACACGUUCCUUGAAGAGUUCUUUUUUUUAGAUUUUUAAAUUUUGAAACAAUCUCAAACUUACAUAAAAGUUGCAAGAACAGUACAAAAAAACCCACUUUUUCAACCUUUUAGGUAUAAGUUGCCAAGAUGAUGUUCCGUAUGUCCCAUACCCCUUAGAUCCCAACUCCUUUCUGAGGGCUGACUCCUGCACAUAACACCCUUCCCCAAGCUGACCCUCCUGCUGGGCUGCAUAUCCUGUAUACCACUGUCUCUAGGGCCACUGCAGGGCAUGCUCCCCACCUUUCAGGGAUGCACUGCUUUGCCCUGCAUGCCUCCCCAUGCAGGCACCUGCAUAUACUCCUAGGGUCCUCCUCACACAUCCUCCUUACAGGCUCAGGCUCUGAUACUACAACAGGCUCAGUGGCUGAACUUUUCAGGGAAAGGAGGAAAGGGAAGGACUUUAAAUAGAUCUGAGAAAUACAGUUCAGGAUUUGUCUAAAUAUGAAUUGUUAGCAGGUAAGACUUGGAGCCAGUGGGUGACUUAAAAUCAUUUUACAAAGAAGAAUCACAAACCUUAAAACAAAAUACAUUUCAGUGUAUAUUGUGAUCCACGGGAAUAUUUUUGGGUAUUAAAAUGAAUCAUCAUAUUUGAAUCCUGGGAGGUGUUCCUGAGGACUGAACCAAAGACUUCACACAUGUUAGGCAAGUACACUACCAUUGAACUGUAUCUCUAGCUCUUUUUAUGUUAUUUCGGUUUUUGCUUGUUCAUUUUUUUUGAGACAGGGUCUGCUUGUAUAGUUAAACUCAUAGCAAUCCUCCGGCCUCAGCCUCCCAAGUGCUAGGAUUAUAGAUGUGCACCACCAUGCCAGGCUUUUAUUUCAUUUUUAAAUCUUGAGAUAGGAUCUCACUAAAUUGCCUAGGGUAGCCUGGAACUUGCAGUCCUCCUGCCUCAGCCUCCCAAGUAGCUCAGAUUAUAGGCAUGUCACAUGCUUGGUUUGACUAUGAUUAUUAAAAACACAUGGAGAAUGCAGUGUUUUAAACAUUUUGUGUAUAUACAUAAAAAUUUUUUUGUUUUUAAUAGCAAAGCAUUCACCUGCCUCAAAAGUGCAAGGUCCUGAGUUCAAUCCCUGGUUACCCCCCCCAAAAGAAGGUAAUAAAGCAAAACAUUUAUUGGUACAUUUUAGGUAUACAUAAUGGUAAUGCUUAUCAUAGGGAAUUUGCACCUGUACAUGGUAUAUCUUGCCCCUUUUUGCCCAUCCUCCCCUCUCCUCAGGCCCCUUUUCCUCCCUAUGUACAAAAGCUUUGUUUCCAUUUUAAAAAUAAUUUUCAAUCUACCUUGCUGACACUGGAAAAUGAAAUCCGAAAAUUAUUGCAUAAAGCAUUUAAAAUAGACAUUAGUCUUCUUGUGAUUUUAUAACAACUAAUUCAUUCCUCUGUCUCUUCCUACAUGGGCUGUUGCAGUAGCCACCUUCCUGUUCUCUAUUUUCACUCUUGCCCCUGCUUCAGGCUCAUUCUGCUUUUUGCAUGGGAGCUAAAAUGAUCUAUUAAACAUUUAAAUCAGGUCAUAUCUUUUUUUUAUUUGAAUAGAGAUUUCUAGUUUCUGCUUGGGAUAUAAAUAACCAGAAAGGGUCCUUUUUACCCUCAAAAAAAGAAAACCUGAAUGAACUGCAAGUUCACAAUUUUUCUAGAACUCAUCAAGGAGCUGAGGUCUUUAACCAAUUAGCCUGAAACCUAGGGAGAAACAGCUGCCUACUACCAGAGACAGACUACAAGCUCAUACUCACUUCAGAUAAAAGCAGCUAAAAAGAAUAAACAUUUCCCCUCCUUUCUGAUCUCUGGGUGUUCUCUGCAUGUUAUAACAUCUGCUAUGUAUUGAUGUAGUCAUUUGUAUAGGGCAAGUUCUAAGCAAGUUUGGUCUCACAAGUUUAAUGUGCACUAUCUGAAUAUUCAGUAGUUAAGUACAGAAACAUCUCAGUGAGGGACUGUUGCGUUCUGAAAAAUAACUUUAGUAAUUAAAGUUUAAUCAUACUCUUCCCUGCUUUAUUAAAUAGAGUAUACGUAUUGUUAGGUUUUUACGAGUUAGAAGGUCACACUUAAUCUCACUUGCUAAAUACCAUAAGAAAACCUUUUAUUCAUUUAAUAGCUAGAAAUGCUGUUCUAGGUAUUCUCUUCCCUCUGGAAAGCCUAAAAGCCAUCGUCCCCAGUGGCACAGUGCCUGCUGGGAAAGCCACUUUUUGAAAAAAUCAAGGGAAGGGUCUGGUUACUAUAGCUCUGGAUAGAAGAGACCGGUAAAUGGAGCAUGGGCAGGAACCUGUCUAGCUCCCUUUCAGAUCACAUAUGCAUACUUGCCCACCUACUCUCCCAAGGAUCCCUUAACCUAUGAUUUCACUUUUGGGGUUUGAGUAACCUGCAGUCCAAAAAUAUUAAAUAGAAAAUUCCAGGAAUAAACAACUUAUAAUUUUUAAAUUGUGUGCCCUUCAGAAUAGCAAGAUUAACAUUUUUUGCUGUCCCACCCAAUCCCACCCAGGAUGUGAAUCAUGCCUACAAUGAAUCCAUGCUGUAUAUGCUACCCAUCUGUUAGUUGCUUUGUACCUCUCUCAGGUACCGGAUUCACUGUUGCAGUAUUGCAGUGUUUGUGUUCAACUGACCUGCAUUUUACUUAAUAAUAGCCCCAAAGUCCAAGAAUAAUACCAAAAACUUUAUUACAGUAUAAGUGCCCUAUUGUUAUUUUUUAAAAUUUCUUACUGUGCCUAAUUUAUCAAUUAAAUUUUAUCAUGGAUUUGUAGAGGAAAAAUAUAUAAACAAUAUAUUAUACAUAAUAAUGUAUAUAAAACAUUGCUUGUCAUAUAUAUAACUAUACUAGACAGUAUAUAUAGGUCUGGUACUACACAAGGUUUCAGACAUCCACUGGGGAUUCUUGGAAUGCAUCCCCCUAAGAAAAAGGAGGGCUACUAUGUAGCUGGGGGGCUACAUACCUACUAAACUCAGGACAAUGCGUGACCAUCCUGGUAUAAUGCUUUUCUAGAAUUUUGUAUGUUAUUGCACCAUGAGUUCUUGAUUUAUAAAGAUCUCUCAGGAUCUUAGGUUCUCUAGAAUCUGUUGAGGGCUCCAAUAAAUUCACUUUGAAUUUAGAGAGUCCAGUAUGGUGACUCAUGCCUAUAGUCCCAGCAGUCAGGAGACUGAGGCAGGAGGAUCAUCAUGAGUUGGAGGCCAGCCUGGGCUACAUAGUGAGUUUGAGGCCAGCCUGAACUACAUAGUGAGACCCUGUCUCAAAAAACAAAAGAAAAGAAAAAGAAAAUCAAAUGUGAGACAAAAUUUUGUGUAUUUUUAUAUUUGAUUUUUGUGUAGAGAAGAAUGAAAACUUUUAACUGGAUUUGUAGAAGGAGAUGACUGAGAUGUUACCCCUCUGAUUCUUAAUAAAAUAUAUUUGUUUCUUUUCUAUAAAA